Musa acuminata AAA Group (dessert banana) is the source of this 750-nucleotide long non-coding RNA. RefSeq lists it as uncharacterized. The transcript has 2 exons. The record is from RefSeq and is a predicted model, not a curated record. NCBI's taxonomy places the organism in Eukaryota, Viridiplantae, Streptophyta, Magnoliopsida, Zingiberales, Musaceae.
UCGAGGAGGGAGUUGGUCGAGUUCUGCUGCUUUAGGCAUUUCAUCGAACACUUAGACGGCACGCGUAGGUCACCGUGGAACGGAAACGAUGGUGUGGAACUUCCCACCGACGCCGAAGCAGCUGGCGGCCACGGCGGGCGUGUUUGGGAUGGGCGUCGUGCUGAUCGCCGUCGGAUCAAACCUCUCCUACGCCAACAUUGCUCCCCAGCAAGCCCGCGCCGAGGCGCGCCGCCAGUUCUUUAAAGAGUACCUCCGCAAAAAGUUCGACCACUAGCCGACCUCCUCCUGCAGCACCCGCAUCCCCCUUUGGGUAUGCAAUGCAAAAAAUUAAAGAUUGUCAAGGUUUCUCAUGUUGCAGAUCCCCUGUUGAUUGAAGAGUACAACGUUCAUGGUCUGUCAGCUAUAAUACUCUCCAACGAUGGUAGGAAAAUCCAGCAAAUCAAGUGGAAAGUUCUAUGACAAAUAUUAAGCUAAAGAGAAUAUUUUGAAGUUCACUAGAUUCUACUACUGUGAUCUAAUCUUCUUAAAGUUUGAUGAAUUCCUUCAAAUGUUGAUUAAACAUUUUUUUAUUCUAAAUCCUCAACAAGAGAAAGUGGAUGGAUCUUGAGGAAUGAUUUCUUCCAGUGAACAGGAUGUUCCCUUCUACCGAAGCUAUUUAUGUCUUUUCCUACAUUGUAGUUAACUAUAUUUUUUCAAGACAAUAUGUGAAAUAUCUGUAUAUAACAUGAGCUUCUGUAUGAUCAUUGUUCA